Molecule: ribosomal RNA, 555 nt
Filed under: uncultured bacterium
Lineage: Bacteria
Description: bacterial SSU rRNA
Rfam family: Bacterial small subunit ribosomal RNA
Source: RNAcentral
AAUAGAUACCCGGGUAGUCCACGCCGUAAACGAUGGAUGCUAGCUGUUAUGCGGUAUCGACCCGUGUAGUAGCGAAGCUAACGCGUUAAGCAUCCCGCCUGGGGAGUACGAACGCAAGUUUAAAACUCAAAGGAAUUGACGGGGACCCGCACAAGCGGUGGAGCGUGUUCUUUAAUUCGAGGCUAAGCGAAGAACCUUACCAGGGCUUGACAUCCUUGGAAUUUCUCCGAAAGGAGAGAGUACUUUAUUGGACCAAGUGACAGGUGCUGCAUGGCCGUCGUCAGCUCGCGUCGUGAGAUGUUUGGUUAAGUCCAUUAACGAGCGCAACCCUUAUGAAUAGUUGUAUUUUUCUAUUCAGACUGCCCCGGUAACGGGGAGGAAGGGGGGAUGAUGUCAGGUCAGUAUUGCCCUUACGCCCUGGGCUAGAAACGCGCUACAAUGGCCGGUACAAUGCGCUGCCAACCCGCGAGGGGGAGCAAAUCGCAUCAAAGCCGGUCCCAGUUCGGAUAAGAGGCUGAAACUCGCCUCUUUGAAGCCGGAAUCGCUAGUAAUCGU